GAAGAGAAGGAGGAGGAGGAGGAGGAGGAGAAAGUGGCUCUCAGCGGCCGGUCGGAUUAAAAGUAACCAGACUCGUCCAGAAAACUGCGUCCAGGAAGGAAGUGACAGAAGACGAAUGGGAAAAGGAGAACAGCUCACAGCGUUUGAAACAUCGCGGCACCACUUUCAGAUAAAAACAUAGACCUGAAUGGCAUCAUCCAGUAUCCAAGGAAACCAUAACAGAUUGGAAGAAUGCGAAAUGUUAUUAGACACAGGCACAGCAUAGCAGUAGAAACAUCUUAACUGAGAACUUGGAACUGAAAGAGAAAGCAACCAACUUAAAGGGCAGACAAGACACAUGGUUAUGUAACACAGCAGUGGGUAUUCACAGUGAUGACACAAGACAAAACAAUUACAUUUUCAUUCUAAAAGUAAUUUUUAAGGAGGCAAGGGCAUUUAUAAAACAUUUUAGAAACUAUUUAAUAAAAAUGGUAAAAUUAAAGUGUUUGUUUAUGUACUCAACAAAUAUUUAUUUGGAAAGUGCAUGCCUGGGGGCACAUCUCGUUAAUGAGGUGAUCCUGUGUUUAGAACUGAAGGCAGUCCUCAUCCAUUCUCUCAAAAGGUGACCUUCUUUGUUCUUCUUAUAGCCUCACCACAUUUAAUUUUCAGAGGUUUUGACAUAAAUUAAAAACAUUCUUUGGUAGAUUGUAUUGUAUGAAAACAAUCUUCAAAAGUGUAAGCAUUGAUAUCUGGAAUAUCUGGGAAAAUGUACAAUAAAGACAUCUCUUCUGGUCUUCCUCUGAUGGUAAUGUGUUCACUAUUAUACUGAUGAUGUAAGCUAUGUAUGUAAACCUAUGCAGGUAAAAUUCUGCUAAAGCCAAUCCCACUACAAAACAACAACAACAACAAACCCCAAGUGGCAUCUGAAGAGCUUGGGAAUUCCAGGAAUGUGAUAAAAAUGUUUUUAAUAAUACACGGAAAAAUAAUUUAGUGUGUAAAUAAUAUUUUAUAGUAAAUGCUUCAUUUUAUUCCUUCCAUAUAACAACUGUCUUCUGUAAUGAAAAUACUUACUUGUUUGUUUAGUGUCUAAAGGUUGAGAAGGGAACUAGAAUUGGCCUAAGGAGGCCCUCAGCCACCCAUCAUGUGACAGUAUGGCCAGGAGGACUUACUCUCUGCUCUCCUCCUCUUGACAUGCCUCAAACACACCAAUCAUUUGCACUUGGGAAAUCAACCCUCACUAGCAAAUUACUCCUGCCAACAAAAUAACCCAAUCAGCAUGCAAAACUGGUAGCGAGCUGGGAGAGGGCGAUGAGAGUGGUGUUCACAUGGCUCCCUCUGUUUCCCUUUCCCCAGGUCUGGGCACACACUGUCAGUCAGUGGCCCCUGACUCAGAAAGAGGUUUGAUUUAAACCAUUUCAUUUUCUGCUCUCAGACUGGGAAUUUAUUUAAUAUGAAUGUCAUCAUUAUAACAAAACUCAACUGUAUUCUAGCAAAAAUUUGGCUGAUCUAUGAAGAAUAUUGGAAGGAGAAUCUGUGAACCCAAAAAUACUAGACCACUGCUUAUUCAGUUCUGCAAUUUUGUCACUUUAAUGGACUCUUCAGAGUGCCAAAUCACUAGUCCUACUGACUAUACAAAAAUUGGCCAUCAACAUGCCUGCCUCCAACAAAUUGUUGCUGUUACUUCAUGUUAUCCACUUUGGGCUUAGAGACUGAAGGCCAAAAAGCAUCCAAUUUUUAUGGUAAAAAAGUGCAUCAGGAGGGCAACUACAUACAAAGUUACCCUCCCAGUUUGACCCUGUCCUUAAGUUUUUAUUGCCUGAACUGGCACCAAAGAAACUCCUUGAAAAUAACACAUUCCUUGUCCAUUCAGUGGUUAAUGAUGCUUAAAAAAAAUCACAGUUUGUGACUGUGACCUAAAUUAUGCCAGAAGCUGUAAAACCAUGGUUUCUUUAAAUUCAAAUAUGACCCACAUGCUUUAAAACCACUACACUGACCCUAUAGUACUGUUGCUGAGUGUGCGUGUCCUCACAUAAACACAGACACACACACACACACACACACACACACACACACACACUCCCCACUUGGCAUUAAAUGACUCGAUAAAAGAAAUGGUAUUUUUCAGACUUCCAUGUUAAAAAAAAGGCUCAUGAAAGAGAUGUAAGUGAGCUUUAAGCCAAACAUUUGUUUGGCUUUGCUGCAGCAGGCUGCAGGAAUGUAAACUUUUUUUUUUUUUUCAAUGACUUCAGCUCCUAAUUUGAAAGCUAGGAUUUUUAGGAGUGAGCAAGAGACUAUAUUUGGCCAAAAAAUUCUGCUGGCUUUACUUAGCCAAUCUGCACAUUCAAAACAAUACUUCUUUAUCAAAAAAACAAUAGUCUGUUUUAUUCACAGCACAUGUAGAAGUUGGAACAUCGACUAAAUUCCACUUUCUUCUCUUGCAGUGUGUCUGUAACCAGCUAAUGAGCUGCAACAGAGCCUGGCCUUCAUUUUCAGCAAAUUAAGUUCAUCCCUCAUAGGAAUUGUGGUCUGGCUGUGGCACCGCUCCUAGGUAUGGGUGGGAUUUGUUUCUUCUAGCAGUUGUAGGUUAGCCACAUGGGUACGUGCUGUCGCACCACACAACAAAAUUUUCUCUAUAAUAACCAGUCUAAGUAGGCUUUUACCCCACAAAAGUAGAUCCCAUUUAAUUUACUUUGUGUUUAUAGCACUCCCUCUCAAACCGCACCAUUGGCACAGACUAAUAUUUAUACAACUUUUUAUUUUAAACUAUUUAUUUGGAGUUGAGACUUCAGUAGCACUCCCUGUCAGAUUCAUUGAACAAGCUUAAAUUCAGGAUACUGAAAAUGUAAAUUGGGAAGAGGGAUGUAUGUUCUUGGGAUUCUUUUCUCCCGUGCAUGGACACCCAAACAACUCUCACUGUAGUAAAGGGAGGUUACACAUGUGUUGAUAACAUUUGUAUUACUGCUGGUAGGAAAUUGAACAUUGAUGGGUGGUUUUAAAAGCCUGCUUUUGCCUAUUGUGUUUCCACAUUUCUUUGCCAAUAUAGUUGGUCAAAUUAGUUAUGCAAAAUGCAUCUAAAAACUUCUAAUCCAAAAGUGUCAAUGUUGUUAAAGAUUUCUUUUCAUACACAAAGAAAUAUUACAUUGCUCCAUUAUUUUAAUGGAAGUCGUUAGUCAAAUACGCUUUUGCCACAGAAAGAAAAGGGAAAAAAUUCUUAAUUUUGUAUCUGACCUCUGCUUUGGGGCCUUACUUUAAGUUACAUUUUUCUUAAAUAAAGCUUUUCUGUUUUUUAAAGUGAAUGACGGGAUGUUAACUUUAAAUAGACAUUUAACCACAUAAAGUAUAGUGGCAGAUGGUUCAUUUUUCUACUCAGGGUAGACACUUUAUUCAGGUAAUGAUAUUUAAUCCUCAUUUUCUAUGAAAUCUGCAUGUUGUUCUUAAAUCUGAUACUAUUUUGUGAUUUAAAAUGAGUGUUGGGUUAACUUUGUUUACAAGUGAAGUAUUUAUCCCUUUGAUUCUCUUUUACUUUCUUCUUUUGGUAAACACCUAUCCGUUUCUAAGACCCACUUAUAUGUUAUCUCAUCAAGGAAAAUUUUCCCAUCCUCCCAAAGGAGAACAGAACUCCACUGUAGUGGAAUAAGUUUUUUGAGGUAUGAACCAAUGCUUCUGUCCUCCUAAUAUUCUUACAACCUCUAACCCGCCUCUGCAUUCAGGAAACCAGAAUACAUUAGGGAGGAGACAGCAAAGGAAAACAAAAGACAAUAAAGGAAUCGAUGUAUUUGUUUUGUAACUCAAAGUUAAAGUCCAAAUUUAGAAAAUAGAUUUGAAAGCAUAACGGGUCAAUUUCUGUUGUGCCUCUGAAGAAGAAAGUUGAGAAAGAACGAAGAGGGCUUAGAUGCUGGUGGGUGUCUGCAAAAAAGCCCAGACAAUGCCUGGAAUAAUAAAGAAGCAGAGAACUUCCAGGGAGGAAGGGAACAGUCUCUAAGAUGGAGCAGGACCUGGGGAAGUCUUGCUUCUCCACUGAAGAACAUGGACCAAGACCAGGGCAGAAGGGAUGGCAGCUUCCCCGUAGAGCAGUGAGGACGGAUGACGACAUGAAGACUGGACUGCUCAUUCUCACCUUCCCUUCACAGUCCCUGGCACUUUUUAAGCUCCUUGGAAAUUAGAGGCAAUCUAGGAGAAAGGGGGAUAGAAGCAGACCUUAUUUCUGUUACAAUGUGAAUGGGAGCUUCAAAUUGAAGAUAAAAUGUUAUGGAAAAAGUGAAAUUAUAUAUAUAUUUUGCACAUCGUAGCUUGGUGGCUUUAGGUUUCUGUGCAUCAAAGGAAGGAAUUGUGUCUUCCUCAUUGUCAUACUCUGGUAUUGGAGAUUGUGCAACAUAUAUAGUA
This 4362-nucleotide long non-coding RNA is filed under the name Homo sapiens (human). Its description in RNAcentral is "HSALNT0328007". Lineage: Eukaryota; Metazoa; Chordata; Mammalia; Primates; Hominidae. The record is from RNAcentral.